Molecule: RNA transcript, 1530 nt
Organism: Rosa chinensis
Lineage: Eukaryota; Viridiplantae; Streptophyta; Magnoliopsida; Rosales; Rosaceae
Gene name: poly(rC)-binding protein 4
Exons: 9
Source: RefSeq, a predicted model, not a curated record
UUGGUGAACCAAAACUAAACCCAAACAGUAGAAGCUAUUAAGCUAAUGGCGGAGCCCGGCCAAAUGCCCAUAUACCCCCAACAAAUCCAAAUGCCACCCACCUUCAUACCCAUACCAGCCUCCCAACCCGCGCACCCGCCCUCCAUGAAGCGCCGCCGCGACGACGAUUUUCCGCCGAUGCAAAUCGGGCCGGAACCCCUGGACCCAGCCCCAAAGCGCCGGGCCAAGGCCCAAGACGUCAUCUUCCGAGUCGUGGUCCCGUCCAGACAGAUCGGCAAGGUCAUCGGCAAAGAAGGCUGCCGAAUCCAGAAGAUUCGUGAAGACUCCAAGGCCACCAUCAAAAUCGCCGACGCCAUAGCUAGGCACGAGGAGCGUGUGAUUAUAAUAAGCUCAAAGGAUGGUGAUGAAGAUACUACUGAUGCCGAGAAUGCCCUGCAGCAAAUAGCUGGCUUAAUUCUCAAGGAUGAUGAGAAUAGUGCUGAUGCGGCAAAAGUUGGUGCGGGACAUGUGGCUGCGAAUACGAUAAGACUUUUGAUUGCUGGUUCCCAAGCAGGUUCUUUAAUUGGGAUGUCUGGUCAGAAUAUUGAGAAAUUGAGGAACUCCUCUGGGGCCACAAUCACAAUCCUUGCUCCAAGCCAGUUGCCUUUGUGUGCGUCUGCCCAUGAAUCUGAUCGAGUGGUACAGAUAUCAGGUGAUGUCCCUGCUGUUCAGAAAGGUCUGGAAGAGAUUGGUUGUCAACUAAGAGAAAACCCCCCUCGGCAAGUGAUUUCUAUCAGUCCCGCUUAUAACUAUACAGCUAUUAGGCCACCUCAAGUUCAACCAUACAUGGACCCAACUUCAGCUGAAUAUAUUACUUUCGAGAUGUUGAUAUCGGAAACAAUGGUUGGUGGGUUGAUUGGUAGAUGCGGCUCCAACAUUUCAAGGAUCAGAAAUGAGUCUGGCGCAAUGAUCAAGGUUUAUGGUGGGAAAGGUGAACAAAAGCAUAGGCAAAUUCAGUUUUGUGGUAAUCCUCAGCAGGUGGCAUUGGCAAAGCAGCGGGUUGAUGAGUACAUCUACUCCCAGUUGAUACAACAAGCAGGUGCUCAACAGACAGCGUAAUCUUCCUGCAUUAAUGCUGUCCGACUUGGUUUGUUACUUGUCCUGGCAUGUAACAUGAUUUAAGAAGAGUAAUCUCGGUUUUUUAUCCUCACAAGUUGAUUUUCCAAAAGCAAGUAUCUUACAACAUGUGUACUUGUAGAACUAACAACUGUAACAGUAAAGGUGAAGCGGAGUAUUCAGAUUUUGUACCACCGUUUCGGCAUUCAGCACCAUAGAAAAUUCAGACCACUUUAACUGUUGACUUUAGUGCUUCAUUAGUGUAUUUAUAAAUGUGAGCAUUGCAGUUGAUGUGCCGGGGUCUUUUGAAAUUUGGCUAUAUACUGCAAUUGUUUGUAACGGUUGUGUUUGGACUUUGGAAGGUAAUUGGAGAUAGUGAAGGUUUACAUGCACAAUCCAGAGAAUUAUCCGCAACUUCAUAAGGCUUUUGAGAUA